CCAGACUCCUACGGGAGGCAGCAGUGGGGAAUAUUGGGCAAUGGGCGCAAGCCUGACCCAGCAACGCCGCGUGAAGGAAGAAGGCUUUCGGGUUGUAAACUUCUUUUAAGAGGGAAGAGUAGAAGACGGUACCUCUUGAAUAAGCCACGGCUAACUACGUGCCAGCAGCCGCGGUAAUACGUAGGGGGCAAGCGUUAUCCGGAUUUACUGGGUGUAAAGGGAGCGUAGACGGCAGUGCAAGUCCGGAGUGAAAGCCCGGGGCUCAACCCUGGGACUGCUCUGGAAACUGUAAAGCUGGAGUGCGGGAGGGGCAGGCGGAAUUCCUGGUGUAGCGGUGAAAUGCGUAGAUAUCAGGAGGAACACCGGCGGCGAAGGCGGCCUGCUGGACCGUAACUGACGUUGAGGCUCGAAAGCGUGGGGAGCAAACAGGAUUAGAUCCCCUGGUA
Molecule: ribosomal RNA, 446 nt
Filed under: uncultured bacterium
Lineage: Bacteria
Description: bacterial SSU rRNA
Rfam family: Bacterial small subunit ribosomal RNA
Source: RNAcentral